ACUAGGAUUAGAUACCCUAUUAUUUAGAAUAUAAAUUUUGUUUCCAGAUUAGUAUUAGUUAUGUUCUUGAAAAUUAAAGAUUUUGGCGGUAUUUUAUUCUAAUCAGAGGAACCUGUCCUGUAAUCGAUAGUCCACGAGAAAUUCUAUUUUUUCUUAGUUUGCAUAUCGUCGUAGUUUGAAUAUUUUAUAAGAAAGUAAAUGUUCACGAUUUUUAUUAAAAAGGAAAUCAGAUCAAGGUGUAGCUUAUGGAAAAGUUAGUGAUGGGUUACAUUAUUAAUAUUUAUGGAAUUGUUUUUUGAAAUGAAAUCAUGAAUUCGGAUUUGAUUGUAAUUUUAAUAAUUUAUUAAUAUGAAAGAAGCUCUAAAAUAUGCACACAUGGCC
RNAcentral lists this ribosomal RNA (381 nucleotides) under Xylotrechus colonus. Its description in RNAcentral is "partial 12S ribosomal RNA". The record is from RNAcentral. Lineage: Eukaryota; Metazoa; Arthropoda; Insecta; Coleoptera; Cerambycidae.